Molecule: ribosomal RNA, 670 nt
Filed under: uncultured bacterium
Lineage: Bacteria
Description: bacterial SSU rRNA
Rfam family: Bacterial small subunit ribosomal RNA
Source: RNAcentral
ACGCUGGCGGCAGGCCUAACACAUGCAAGUCGAGCGGUAGAGAGAAGCUUGCUUCUCUUGAGAGCGGCGGACGGGUGAGUAAUGCCUAGGAAUCUGCCUGGUAGUGGGGGAUAACGUUCGGAAACGGACGCUAAUACCGCAUACGUCCUACGGGAGAAAGCAGGGGACCUUCGGGCCUUGCGCUAUCAGAUGAGCCUAGGUCGGAUUAGCUAGUUGGUGAGGUAAUGGCUCACCAAGGCGACGAUCCGUAACUGGUCUGAGAGGAUGAUCAGUCACACUGGAACUGAGACACGGUCCAGACUCCUACGGGAGGCAGCAGUGGGGAAUAUUGGACAAUGGGCGAAAGCCUGAUCCAGCCAUGCCGCGUGUGUGAAGAAGGUCUUCGGAUUGUAAAGCACUUUAAGUUGGGAGGAAGGGCAUUAACCUAAUACGUUAGUGUCUUGACGUUACCGACAGAAUAAGCACCGGCUAACUCUGUGCCAGCAGCCGCGGUAAUACAGAGGGUGCAAGCGUUAAUCGGAAUUACUGGGCGUAAAGCGCGCGUAGGUGGUUUGUUAAGUUGGAUGUGAAAUCCCCGGGCUCAACCUGGGAACUGCAUUCAAACUGACUGACUAGAGUAUGGUAGAGGGGUGGUGGAAUUUCCUGUGGUAGCGGUGAAAUGCGUAGAUAU